GGGCUCCCCCAUUAUGUCACCAAACAUCUUUGAAAUUUGGGACUUACCUGUUAAUGUUUAUUGGUUUCAGCUUCCCAAUCAAUUAUGUCAGACUGUCUUAAUGAUUUCCUAGGUGCUUGCUAGCAUAUACUGCUGUUACUUUAAUAACAGAGAUAGAGGUUUAACAUGUGCUUAUAUCUAUGUCAUAAUUGCUGUGACUCAAUCACUUCUUUCAGAGACAUACCACUAUGUCUGGAGAAUGUAGGUUCUUAUGCUUUCCCAGACCUUUCCCCUCUACAGAUCUGUAGACCAUGAUGUUCCCACUGUGUCCAAAGAAUAAAUACUUUUAGUUUUCACUGCACAGAAGAACGUUGAAUUCUGUUCCAGUUCUACCACUUCAUGGCAGAAUGAAUUAGCUUUGUUUCUGAAACUCUAGUUUUAAUUUUAUGGCCAGAAUAUUCUAAGUUUCAGCUUAUUUAUGUGGAAAUUGCUGACGACUCCAGAAAUGGUACACAUUUCCUUCAUGGUAUUCAAAGUGGUUUUCUGUUUUCAUGUAACAAUUUAGUUUUCUGAGACAUGCUGUGAUGUUCUAGGCAGACUCACUGAAGUAAAGGGCUAAUCUAAUGGCCAUUCUGUACUGCAUGGCAUCCUAAUGGUCAGAAUUUUUGCAAUACAUAGUGAGCAGUACUCAUAAAUGAGGCACGAAAGGAGAAUCUAUUUUAAAACUGAAAAAAAAAACUAUUCAAAAAAAAUUUAUUUAGUAGCAUUUCCUCUCUGCAAGGACACUGCAGAGAAACUAUGAACAUUGAAAGAAAAGGUCCUAGACACCAAAAGAGGAACUGGUUGGCCUGAUUUUGACUGCUUAGAAUCUUCUAUUAGCCUAAUGAGAAUUACUCCAAUGUUAAACAACAGCACCAUGAAGAUCCUUCUUGCAAACAGAAGUGCAGUUGGAGACUCAAAGGUUUCUUGGAAUGUGAAUUUGGUAUGUGGAUACAUUUUUAUUUGUAAGAAAAUAGCAAACACACCUGGUAUUGUGUUUUUUUCUUUUCCUAAUAUAACACUUCUAGAAUUUACAGUCCUUUCUUCAAAGAUAGCAAAAGAAGUUCUCUUAGAGGUUGACUUUUUAUAACUCAUUAGGAACCAGGCCUCAACUCCACUCUUCCCCAUGCAUUUCCAUUACACCACUUUAUAUGCUUUACAAGGUUCUGGCAGGCUCUUCUUCUUGUGACCCAGCAGAUACAUCCCUUUUCAACACUGCCUUUACCCUUUACAUUAUUGAUUCAAUUUUUUUCUUCCCAAGUAAAUAAUCAUUCUAUCUGAUUUCCCAAGUCCUCAUAUCUCGUUCGCCAUCACAUAUGCAGCUUUCUCUCUCAUUUUUCCAGAAUGACAGUUCAUGGUAUAUUAACCCAAAUUUUUUAUAAAACCACAUUUCACGUCUUUCCCAAAGGCCACAUCUUUACUACAUUUUCAAUUUCAGUUUUACUCUGUUUUCUGUUUUACUUAGAUGUUAUAUCUCUUUUAUGGUUCCACCUCUUCCCCACUAUUUACACUUCUUUGUCUUAUCUUUGGAAAUUGCAAUAGCCUCUCCUACUCCUCUGUUCAAUAGUUUUAGUGUGUUGAAAGGUAUUAUAUAUAAGAAAAAUCUUUUUUUUUUUUUUUUGCCAAUAACCACAAGCAUUCUGAGCUGGUAUUUUUGUACAUUCCAUGUUUUCUAAAACUUGCUUUUGUUUAAGAUUCUGUUCUACUCUGUAAAAGUAUAUUAUGCUCAGCAUUUCCAUUGGCAAAUUUUGUUGAAGAAAGGCUAAACUUUUUAGAAACUUGUUGCUUUCAUUCCAGAUAUGAAAAAGGAAAGCUUAAUCAUGCAACACUUAGAAUUCUGCAACUGCAGGCUUUCAUUUCUCUAAUUGGCCAGGGGAAUACAUAUGCAUGGAAACAACUCUCUAUACAUCCUGUAAUUUACUUUGAGGGAACAGGUUACAAUGUACAUGUACCCUUUUUUGUUUUCCAAACAAUAUUUUCCUUAUUUCUAACAUUUGGAAAUGGGGUUGAAAGAAGGCACCUUCAUGCUGAUUAGUCCUAUGGAAUAAUGCUCCCCACUCAACAUAUGGCUUUAUGAAAAAAAAAAAAAAGAAUCAAAUUGUGAGC
This 2124-nucleotide long non-coding RNA is filed under the name Mus musculus (house mouse). Its description in RNAcentral is "long non-coding RNA chr6:45116963-45119087". Lineage: Eukaryota; Metazoa; Chordata; Mammalia; Rodentia; Muridae. The record is from RNAcentral.